CUGUUGUAGAUGGUGGAGCUCUCUGCCGCUUCCUCUUCCCUCUCUUUCUUCUUCAAUCUCGAGCCACGAGCUUUCCUCCGGUUCUGCUUUACUUUUCUGCAACGAAAUCUCCUGCUUAUGUAUGCAGACUCUUUCUGAAACUCCUCAGUUUUCACCUUAAAUUCCUCAAUUUUCAUGUUUUCCAGAUUUUGGCAAUUGAAAGCUGAUACUCUCUCAGAAGUAGCAGCACUUUCCUUGCCAUCCUGGUAAUCUUCACCAUCAGAACUCUGGAAGAAGAUAUUUUGAUGGUUUCUUGAAUUAGAAACUGCUGAAUCAUAAAACUCCUCUUUCACUUGAUCUGUUUUCUGCAGCUGUGUUGGUUCUUGUUCUUCCUCCGGAUUUGAUGACUCUUUUUCUCCUUGAUGAAGCCCUGUUCCGAGUUCUGCUUGCUUCUUCCUCUCAACUCUGCCUCUCAAUUUUCUUGAGCGUCGAACAUUUGUGUUGUCUUU
Molecule: long non-coding RNA, 488 nt
Filed under: Salvia miltiorrhiza (redroot sage)
Lineage: Eukaryota; Viridiplantae; Streptophyta; Magnoliopsida; Lamiales; Lamiaceae
Description: long non-coding RNA (SMIL_LNC000767)
Source: RNAcentral